This 253-nucleotide ribosomal RNA is filed under the name uncultured bacterium. Its description in RNAcentral is "partial 16S ribosomal RNA". It matches the Rfam family "Bacterial small subunit ribosomal RNA", at positions 524 to 776 of the family's 1533-position model. The record is from RNAcentral.
UACGUAGGUGGCAAGCGUUGUCCGGAUUUACUGGGCGUAAAGCGUGCGCAGGCGGCUAUGCAAGACAGAUGUGAAAUCCCCGGGCUCAACCUGGGAACUGCAUUUGUGACUGCAUGGCUAGAGUACGGUAGAGGGGGAUGGAAUUCCGCGUGUAGCAGUGAAAUGCGUAGAUAUGCGGAGGAACACCGAUGGCGAAGGCAAUCCCCUGGACCUGUACUGACGCUCAUGCACGAAAGCGUGGGGAGCAAACAGG